RNAcentral lists this ribosomal RNA (253 nucleotides) under uncultured bacterium. RNAcentral's name for it is "partial 16S ribosomal RNA". It matches the Rfam family "Bacterial small subunit ribosomal RNA", at positions 524 to 776 of the family's 1533-position model. The record is from RNAcentral.
UACGUAGGGUCCGAGCGUUGUCCGGAAUUACUGGGCGUAAAGCGUGCGUAGGUGGUUCGUUAAGUCUGUCGUGAAAGCCCCGGGCUCAACCUGGGAAUGGCGAUGGAUACUGGCGAGCUAGAGUGCGGUAGAGGAGAGUGGAAUUCCCGGUGUAGCAGUGAAAUGCGUAGAGAUCGGGAGGAACAUCAGUUGCGAAGGCGGCUCUCUGGACCAGCACUGACACUGAGGCACGAAAGCGUGGGGAGCAAACAGG